Molecule: ribosomal RNA, 253 nt
Filed under: uncultured bacterium
Lineage: Bacteria
Description: partial 16S ribosomal RNA
Rfam family: Bacterial small subunit ribosomal RNA
Source: RNAcentral
GACGAACCGAGCGAACGUUGUUCGGAAUCACUGGGCUUAAAGGGCGCGUAGGCGGCGCAACAAGUCACUUGUGAAAUCUCCGGGCUUAACCCGGAGCGGUCAAGUGAUACUGUCGUGCUAGAGUGCGGAAGGGGCUACUGGAAUUCUCGGUGUAGCGGUGAAAUGCGUAGAUAUCGAGAGGAACACCUGCGGCGAAGGCGGGUAGCUGGGCCGACACUGACGCUGAUGCGCGAAAGCCAGGGGAGCGAACGGG